RNAcentral lists this long non-coding RNA (1519 nucleotides) under Equus asinus (donkey). RNAcentral's name for it is "lncRNA (ENSEASG00005028861.1)". The record is from RNAcentral. Lineage: Eukaryota; Metazoa; Chordata; Mammalia; Perissodactyla; Equidae.
GAAAGAGCAAGCAAUCAGGCUCUGGGACUAGCUGCAGGAAAAAAUAUUUAUCUUGGCACGAGGGGAAACACGAAGGAGGCACAGUGUUCCCAGAACCCAGCAAGGGCUUACAACUGGGAAGGGGACUUCCCAGGAGGAGGACACAGUAGCAGUCUCUUUCUUCUCAACGCCCACAAGGGCUGAGGCUGCCAUGUGAAAAGAAGAAAUGACAAUGUACACAUGUAAGGAAUCUGUGCAAUACCACAGGCAUUGGAGACACAGUACCGGAAACAAGCUUGAAGAAUUUCCAACCCAUUGCUAACUUACUCUUCAAGUGAAUGUGUGUAGUGAGCCCAGCAGUGCGUUUCAGCCCCAAUGUCUUCUGCCUUCCCCUAGUGGAACUGGAACCAUCAGCUUUGUAUUAAGACAUGUUACAUGGUCUACAAAACUGACUUGGAACGAGGCAACAUCACUUGGGAUUCUGUUUUGGGAACAAAAGUGAGAAGGUCAAAAGAAAAAGCUAGACUCUGGCAGAUCUACAAAGAAAGUUGACUGAGGGGAGUGACAGUCCAGGACAGCACAGGAUAUCAGGAUAUCAUCAACUACCAGAUUCAGAAGGAGAAAAUUCUUGGUGGUGGACCUCAGUAAGACAAAGUCCCUCUCAUGAUAUAUCUAUGCUGCUUUAAGCAAGGUUUGGUAUUUUUUGCAUGAGUAUUUAAGGCAGGACAAGGUAACACAGAUUGACGCUGCCAUUCAAAGAGAAGAGACUAAUAAUAUUUAUGUGAAAGUGGGAUGGGGUUGAUUACAAUGGAAAGGUAUGACUAGUCAGAUGCCCAUUAAUAUUAUCUCCUAAAUAUUAAAUAUGGGGAGGCCUUCCAAGGGGUCUGCAGUGUUACACAAUGCUCCUGUUGCACACCCUGCACCUUGUUCAUGUCCUCUGAGGCUACUGGCAUCUGAGGUAUAGAAGAAUAUGAAGCUAAGAAAAAUACGACCAGAAUUUAAUCACUAAAACAAUCAGCUUCACCUUUGGUCAUGGCCUAGGACUACUCGCUUGAGUUUGUUCCGCUAUUUUGUAAAGUUUUCCCUGUGUCACUUGGGAGCAUUGAAGAGAACAGUGUCCCCACAUAGUGUUAGAUGAUGGGUCCCUGGCAGUACUCACUGUCAGGAAUGAAGAGUAUCACACCUUCACACCAUUAUGGCAUGCCUGUGGAUGGCAGGAACAAUGAAGGAGAAAGAAAGAUCACUAGACUGAUUUCAGGACCUCAGGACUUGCACCCAUGGGGGUUCCAAUUCAUGAUAGUGGACCAAGAGAGCAUUCUGAUAGUCGCUUUUCCUUAAAGUUGUAUCUGGGUGCUCAAUCUGAGCAGGUUAAAUAAUUGCGGCAAUAGCUUUAAAGCAUCUUGGAAAAUCCUGAUGAGAGAUGGUUGAGUAGAAUUGGAAAGGGACAAAAAUAUCAUACAAAGGUGAAAAAAGAAUUCCUCAUGCAAAGACCAUGAUAUUGCCUCUUUCCCUAAUGUGUAAGAUGGUGAUCCAAAUGCAC